GUGCCUGUAGCUCAAUCGGUAGAGCGUCGCUCUGUGGCAGCGAAGGCAGCGGGAUCGUAACCCGUCAGGCACCCCA
RNAcentral lists this transfer RNA (76 nucleotides) under Candidatus Woesebacteria bacterium. RNAcentral describes it as "tRNA-His". It matches the Rfam family "tRNA". Rfam says of the family: Transfer RNA (tRNA) molecules are approximately 80 nucleotides in length. Their secondary structure includes four short double-helical elements and three loops (D, anti-codon, and T loops). Further hydrogen bonds mediate the characteristic L-shaped molecular structure. tRNAs have two regions of fundamental functional importance: the anti-codon, which is responsible for specific mRNA codon recognition, and the 3' end, to which the tRNAs corresponding amino acid is attached (by aminoacyl-tRNA synthetases). tRNAs cope with the degeneracy of the genetic code in two manners: having more than one tRNA (with a specific anti-codon) for a particular amino acid; and 'wobble' base-pairing, i.e. permitting non-standard base-pairing at the 3rd anti-codon position. The record is from RNAcentral. Lineage: Bacteria; Candidatus Woeseibacteriota.